Molecule: ribosomal RNA, 490 nt
Filed under: uncultured bacterium
Lineage: Bacteria
Description: partial 16S ribosomal RNA
Rfam family: Bacterial small subunit ribosomal RNA
Source: RNAcentral
GAUGAACGCUAGCUACAGGCUUAACACAUGCAAGUCGAGGGGAAACGGCAUCGAAAGCUUGCUUUUGAUGGGCGUCGACCGGCGCACGGGUGAGUAACGCGUAUCCAACCUGCCCAUCACUUGGGAAUAACCUUGCGAAAGUAAGACUAAUGCCCAAUGACAUCCCACGAAGGCAUCCGAAUGGGAUUAAAGAUUUAUCGGUGAUGGAUGGGGAUGCGUCUGAUUAGCUUGUUGGCGGGGUGACGGCCCACCAAGGCAACGAUCAGUAGGGGUUCUGAGAGGAAGGUCCCCCACAUUGGAACUGAGACACGGUCCAAACUCCUACGGGAGGCAGCAGUGAGGAAUAUUGGUCAAUGGGCGAGAGCCUGAACCAGCCAAGUAGCGUGCAGGAUGACGGCCCUAUGGGUUGUAAACUGCUUUUAGAAGGGAAUAAAGUGGGUCACGUGUGACUUUUUGCAUGUACCUUAUGAAUAAGGACCGGCUAAUUCCG